RNAcentral lists this ribosomal RNA (484 nucleotides) under uncultured bacterium. RNAcentral describes it as "partial 16S ribosomal RNA". It matches the Rfam family "Bacterial small subunit ribosomal RNA", at positions 30 to 507 of the family's 1533-position model. The record is from RNAcentral.
AUUGAACGCUGGCGGCAGGCCUAACACAUGCAAGUCGAGCGGAUGAAGGGAGCUUGCUCCUGGAUUCAGCGGCGGACGGGUGAGUAAUGCCUAGGAAUCUGCCUGGUAGUGGGGGAUAACGUCCGGACACGGGCGCUAAUACCGCAUACGUCCUGAGGGAGAAAGUGGGGGAUCUUCGGACCUCACGCUAUCAGAUGAGCCUAGGUCGGAUUAGCUAGUUGGUGGGGUAAAGGCCUACCAAGGCGACGAUCCGUAACUGGUCUGAGAGGAUGAUCAGUCACACUGGAACUGAGACACGGUCCAGACUCCUACGGGAGGCAGCAGUGGGGAAUAUUGGACAAUGGGCGAAAGCCUGAUCCAGCCAUGCCGCGUGUGUGAAGAAGGUCUUCGGAUUGUAAAGCACUUUAAGUUGGGAAGAAGAGCAGUAAGUUAAUACCUUGCUGUUUUGACGUUACCAACAGAAUAAGCACCGGCUAACUUCGUG